This 397-nucleotide transfer-messenger RNA is filed under the name Bacteroidales. Its description in RNAcentral is "Cryptobacteroides sp012744435 Standard tmRNA". It matches the Rfam family "transfer-messenger RNA". From Rfam's summary of the family: Bacterial tmRNA, also known as 10Sa RNA or SsrA, is named for its dual tRNA and mRNA-like properties. Lineage: Bacteria; Pseudomonadati; Bacteroidota; Bacteroidia. The record is from RNAcentral. RNAcentral also lists the same sequence under 1 other name.
GGGGAUGUUCUGGUUUUGACAGCACUGAUUCCGGAUGGUAAGCACGCCGGGCGUAGGAGGCUGGCCCGUUAAUCCCAGUCUUCAAGCCAUAACUGGCAACUACAAUUAUUCGUACGCUUGCUAAUCUCCAAGAGAUUGAGCAUUAAUCGAUACCGCCUAGGCUGCGGUACGACGUAUAUCCCUCCUGCUUUAGGCCGGUUCAGCCAGGAUCAAGGGGUAUCAUCAAAACCGGAUGCGCGGCUCAGACGCCUCUAAGGACCGCUAAGAUUUCAGAGGAUAAGCCCGAAGUGGCCUGCCUUCCGGCAGCUGCGGGCCGACAAACAAAGAAAGGAUAAGCGUGUAGAAAGCCACCUGGGGCUUUGUUUGGACGGCGGUUCGACUCCGCCCAUCUCCACAA